RNAcentral lists this ribosomal RNA (254 nucleotides) under uncultured bacterium. Its description in RNAcentral is "partial 16S ribosomal RNA". It matches the Rfam family "Bacterial small subunit ribosomal RNA", at positions 524 to 776 of the family's 1533-position model. The record is from RNAcentral.
CACGUAGGGUGCGAGCGUUGUCCGGAAUUAUUGGGCGUAAAGAGCUCGUAGGCGGUUUGUCGCGUCGGCCGUGAAAACCUGCAGCUUAACUGUGGGCUUGCGGUCGAUACGGGCAUCACUGGAGUUCGGCAGGGGAGACUGGAAUUCCUGGUGUAGCGGUGAAAUGCGCAGAUAUCAGGAGGAACACCGGUGGCGAAGGCGGGUCUCUGGGCCGAUACUGACGCUGAGGAGCGAAAGCGUGGGGAGCAAACAGG